This 125-nucleotide small RNA is filed under the name Marmota monax (woodchuck). The record is from RNAcentral. Lineage: Eukaryota; Metazoa; Chordata; Mammalia; Rodentia; Sciuridae.
GCCAGGCAUGGUGGCGCACGCCUGUAAUCCCAGUGACCUGGGAGGCUGAGACAGGAGGAUCACAAGUACAAAGCCGGCCUCAGCGAAAGUGAGGCACUAAGCAAUUCAGUAAGACCCUGUCUCUA